AACCAUUCAAAUAUACCAUAGUUUGUUUAACCUUUCGCCUGUUGGUUGAAGAUGCCUUUCAACAGGUGACUGGUAAGACAAACUGUGGUAUAUACA
Molecule: microRNA precursor, 96 nt
Filed under: Gorilla gorilla gorilla (western lowland gorilla)
Lineage: Eukaryota; Metazoa; Chordata; Mammalia; Primates; Hominidae
Description: microRNA 552 (ENSGGOG00000033642.2)
Rfam family: mir-552 microRNA precursor family (bases 11-93)
Source: RNAcentral